UACGAAGGGGGCUAGCGUUGCUCGGAAUCACUGGGCGUAAAGCGCACGUAGGCGGAUUGCUAAGUCAGGGGUGAAAUCCUGGAGCUCAACUCCAGAACUGCCUUUGAUACUGGCGAUCUUGGGUCCGGGAGAGGUGAGUGGAACUGCGAGUGUAGAGGUGAAAUUCGUAGAUAUUCGCAAGAACACCAGUGGCGAAGGCGGCUCACUGGCCCGGUACUGACGCUGAGGUGCGAAAGCGUGGGGAGCAAACAGG
This 253-nucleotide ribosomal RNA is filed under the name uncultured bacterium. RNAcentral describes it as "partial 16S ribosomal RNA". It matches the Rfam family "Bacterial small subunit ribosomal RNA", at positions 524 to 776 of the family's 1533-position model. The record is from RNAcentral.